UACGGAGGGUGCAAGCGUUAUCCGGAUUCACUGGGUUUAAAGGGUGCGUAGGCGGAUUUGUAAGUCCGUGGUGAAAUCUCCAGGCUUAACCUGGAAACUGCCAUGGAUACUAUAAAUCUUGAAUGUUGUGGAGGUUAGCGGAAUAUGUCAUGUAGCGGUGAAAUGCAUAGAUAUGACAUAGAACACCAAUUGCGAAGGCAGCUGGCUACACAAAUAUUGACGCUGAGGCACGAAAGCGUGGGGAUCAAACAGG
This 253-nucleotide ribosomal RNA is filed under the name uncultured bacterium. RNAcentral's name for it is "partial 16S ribosomal RNA". It matches the Rfam family "Bacterial small subunit ribosomal RNA", at positions 524 to 776 of the family's 1533-position model. The record is from RNAcentral. RNAcentral also lists the same sequence under 1 other name.